This is a long non-coding RNA of Carassius auratus (goldfish), 1662 nucleotides long. The record is from Ensembl. Lineage: Eukaryota; Metazoa; Chordata; Actinopteri; Cypriniformes; Cyprinidae.
GUGCAGCGCUGCAGUCAGUCUUCAGUAUGAGAGCGGCUCUGAACAUCAGGUGAAGAACUGUGUUUACACAUUUAGCAUUUAACUGUCACUUUGGAUCAAUUGAAUGUGUCCUUGCUGAAUAAAAACAUUAACCCUCUAUACAACAUAUAAUAAAUUAAUGCUUUUAUUCAGCAAGGACACAUUAAAUUGAUCUAAAGUGACUGUAAAUACUUUUAUAAUGUAACAAAAGAUUUCUAUUUCAAAUUAAUUCUGUUCUUCUGAACUUUCUGUUCAUCUGUGAAUCCUGAAAAAUAAAAUGUAUCAGUUUCAACAGAAAUAUUGUGCAGCACAACUGUGUUCAACACUGAUAAUAAUCAGAAAUGUUUCUUGAGCAGUCAAUCAUCAUAUUUUCAUGAUUUCUGAAGAUCACUGAAGACUGGAGGAAUGAUGCUGAAAAUACAGCGGAGCAUCACAGAAAUAAAUUACACUUUAACACAGAUUCACACAGAAAACAGUUAUAUUAAAUUGUAAAAAUAUUUAACAAUUUUAAUGUAUUUUUGAUCAAAUAAAUGCCGUGAGCAGAAGAGACUAUCUGCAUUAGUGACUCUUGUCAUUUUGUGUUUUUAGUGUCGCUCUGGUUCUGUUUCCGAUCUUCAUGUGUCAUCAGACAACAAGGCAGGUAAGACUAAAAUAAAGGGAAAACAUUUUAUUGAUUGAUUCUGUCCCUCUUAUUUUUCAUUUUGCUGGUUUAUUGUGAGGAAUUUAACACAUAAUAUUCAUCGGAACUCAAAGUGUCACAAAUCAGAAAUCAAAACCACAUGGACUUCUGUAAUAAUAAAUCAUCAGGAGAACGUGUUGUCGUAGUGAGAGUGAUCACAUGUGCUCCAGCUGUCUGACCUCUCGCUGACCCUGAGAAUGAGUUUUAGGGUCCAGCUGAGUGAGGUCACGCCCUCUGCCCUCUGAUUGGCCGUCAGCUGUUGAUUGACAGUCUGAGUGUCGUUUUGUUUCCUCUUCAUGUACAUGAUCCAGAGCGGUUCUGAAGGAGCGGCGUGGAGGUCGUGGAGCUCGUGGGGUUCGUGGGGCGAGUGUUCGCGCUCCUGCGGCCGAGGAGUUCAGGAACAGACCAGAGUCUGUCUGACACAGUAUCCAGCGUCACAGAACACGCCGAACCCGAGACGCCUGAGCCCCGGCACGUACGGAUGGAGGCGAGCGAACAGUAGCCGCAUCAGUCCAGGGACGUACGGAUACAGAACGAUGCUGUAUUCAACGCCUCUUCAGAAAGAAUCCAGCCGAACGGCACACAAACAGAGACGAUCAGCAUCAAACGUCCCACACCGGAGCUACAGGACUCAUCAGAGAAGCCCGUAUCAAAACACUCGCUCUCACACAGCCACCCAACACACCCGAGCGCUGAUGAACACCGCAGCCGUGCAGAGCCCAGCACCAAACCCCUGCCCUGGAGCCCCGAACCGGCACAAGAUCUGCUACAGCACGGUAACAACUGCAGAGGAACACCUCCGAUUAUAUACCGUCAUGUGCAGUAUACAUCUGUUCAUGCUGCUUUAGACAUUCUGCUAACGAUAAAGUUACCUUGCAACUGCAUGCCAUCUAGCGGUCAUUAGAAUAUUAGUAGCCUGUCUGCUUAAUAUCUAUUAACGUUUAAACACAAAUAUUGAGAAUCUG